UACGUAGGGUGCAAGCGUUAAUCGGAAUUACUGGGCGUAAAGCGUGCGCAGGCGGUUAUAUAAGUCAGUUGUGAAAUCCCCGGGCUCAACCUGGGAACUGCAUCUGUGACUGUAUAGCUAGAGUACGGUAGAGGGGGAUGGAAUUCCGCGUGUAGCAGUGAAAUGCGUAGAUAUGCGGAGGAACACCGAUGGCGAAGGCAAUCCCCUGGACCUGUACUGACGCUCAUGCACGAAAGCGUGGGGAGCAAACAGG
Molecule: ribosomal RNA, 253 nt
Filed under: uncultured bacterium
Lineage: Bacteria
Description: partial 16S ribosomal RNA
Rfam family: Bacterial small subunit ribosomal RNA
Source: RNAcentral